RNAcentral lists this ribosomal RNA (451 nucleotides) under uncultured bacterium. RNAcentral's name for it is "bacterial SSU rRNA". It matches the Rfam family "Bacterial small subunit ribosomal RNA", at positions 354 to 796 of the family's 1533-position model. The record is from RNAcentral.
GUGGGGAAUAUUGGACAAUGGGGGGAACCCUGAUCCAGCCAUGCCGCGUGUGUGAAGAAGGCCUUUUGGUUGUAAAGCACUUUAAGCGAGGAGGAGGCUACCGAGAUUAAUACUCUUGGAUAGUGGACGUUACUCGCAGAAUAAGCACCGGCUAACUCUGUGCCAGCAGCCGCGGUAAUACAGAGGGUGCAAGCGUUAAUCGGAUUUACUGGGCGUAAAGCGCGCGUAGGUGGCCAAUUAAGUCAAAUGUGAAAUCCCCGAGCUUAACUUGGGAAUUGCAGUCGAUACUGGUUGGCUAGAGUAUGGGAGAGGAUGGUAGAAUUCCAGGUGUAGCGGUGAAAUGCGUAGAGAUCUGGUGGAAUACCGAUGGCGAAGGCAGCCAUCUGGCCUAAUACUGACACUGAGGUGCGAAAGCAUGGGGAGCAAACAGGAUUAGAUACCCGUGUAGUCC